This 23-nucleotide non-coding RNA is filed under the name Cricetulus griseus (Chinese hamster). Lineage: Eukaryota; Metazoa; Chordata; Mammalia; Rodentia; Cricetidae. The record is from RNAcentral.
GAAAAGGAGGAUAAAUAUGAAGA